Molecule: non-coding RNA, 72 nt
Organism: Phrynosoma platyrhinos (Desert horned lizard)
Lineage: Eukaryota; Metazoa; Chordata; Lepidosauria; Squamata; Phrynosomatidae
Source: the annotation of a GenBank genome assembly
GCCAGUGUGGCACAGUGGUUUGAGCAUUGGAUUAUGACUGUGGAGAUCAGGGUUCAAGUCCUGGCAUGGCCA